Molecule: ribosomal RNA, 426 nt
Filed under: uncultured bacterium
Lineage: Bacteria
Description: bacterial SSU rRNA
Rfam family: Bacterial small subunit ribosomal RNA
Source: RNAcentral
UAGGGAAUUGUUCGCAAUGGGCGCAAGCCUGACGACGCAACGCCGCGUGGAGGAUGAAGACCUUCGGGUCGUAAACUCCUUUCGACCGAGAUGAAAAACCACCGGCCUAAUACGUUGGUGGACUGACAGUAUAGAGGGAAGAAGCCCCGGCUAACUCCGUGCCAGCAGCCGCGGUAAUACGGGGGGGGCAAGCGUUGUUCGGAAUUACUGGGCGUAAAGGGUUCGUAAGUGGCCAACUAAGUCAGACAUGAAAUCCCUCAGCUUAACUGGGGAACUGCGUCUGAGACUGGAUGGCUUGAGUGCAGGAGAGGAACGCGGAAUUCCAGGUGUAGCGGUGAAAUGCGUAGAUAUCUGGAGGAACACCGGUGGCGAAGGCGGCGUUCUGGACUGCAACUGACACUGAUGAACGAAAGCCAGGGGAGCAAA